This is a long non-coding RNA of Drosophila montana, 209 nucleotides long. RefSeq lists it as uncharacterized. The transcript is spliced from 2 exons. The record is from RefSeq and is a predicted model, not a curated record. NCBI's taxonomy places the organism in Eukaryota, Metazoa, Arthropoda, Insecta, Diptera, Drosophilidae.
AAAAUAAAUUAAUAUCAUAUAAACGUUCAAGUAUAUAAUACAAGUUUUAUUUUAUAUUAAACAUUUUUUACAGAAUUUUAUGAUAAAAAAAGUCUCAAUGCAGCGGCAGAUAAAGCCAAAGAAGCUGAAAAUAAAAAAAAACUCGGCUUUCGAAGAAGUUAGUGGAAAAAAAUCAUUGAAAUAAAGGUUCCUGGCGAAAAUCAGACAAC